Molecule: ribosomal RNA, 441 nt
Filed under: uncultured bacterium
Lineage: Bacteria
Description: partial 16S ribosomal RNA
Rfam family: Bacterial small subunit ribosomal RNA
Source: RNAcentral
CCUANGGGGGGCAGCAGUGGGGAAUUUUGCACAAUGGGGGAAACCCUGAUGCAGCAACGCCGCGUGGAGGAUGAAGUCCCUUGGGACGUAAACUCCUUUCGACCGGGACGAUAAUGACGGUACCGGUGGAAGAAGCCCCGGCUAACUCCGUGCCAGCAGCCGCGGUAAUACGGGGGGGGCAAGCGUUGUUCGGAAUCAUUGGGCGUAAAGGGCGCGUAGGCGGUGCGGUAAGUCUUCUGUGAAACCUCUGGGCUCAACCCAGAGCCUGCAGGGGAAACUGCCGUGCUGGAGUAUGGGAGAGGUGCGUGGAAUUCCCGGUGUAGCGGUGAAAUGCGUAGAGAUCGGGGGGAACACCUGCGGCGAAGGCGGCGCACUGGACCAUUACUGACGCUGAGAGCGCGAAAGCUAGGGGAGCAAACAGGAUUAGAUACCCCUNUANUC